UCGGAACUUGCUCUGACUUUAUCCCAGUGCAAAGCCUUAAGCUUCGGUUUAGGAGUUUCCUCUGCAGGCUCAUUGGCACUGAACGUCUCUUUUAGAGUCUCUUCUGGUGAAGUCUUUGGAAGGUUUUCGGAUGGGAUCACAAAAGGAUUCGAAGGCGGCGUGAGAGGAGGUGGUCGGGACGCCUUAGGAGUCGCUUGAUUCCGUCGUGCCCAUGUCGGAAACGGUGGAGGAGGUGGCGGAGGCGGCACUCGUGCAGACACCGGAGGCUGUAGAAUCUGAGAUGAAAUGUUGGAGAUUCGUGGAGAUACAUCUAAGCUAUGGCUAAAGUCUCUAUCCGGAGAAGACGAAAGAGACGACGACGAGGCAGACUGUGGAUCGUGAGAAGCUUUCUCCGGCGGCGACUUGUGAGAAGCUUUCUCCGAACGCAAUGCAUCCAACUCGUUAAGGAAGCCUUGUCCCGGGCGCCGCCUUUGAUGUAAUAAGCCUCUUUAAAUCCAUUCUCAACCAGCAAUUCAGCCACUUUCAUGGAGUUACCAUCAAAACUGCCUUCCACAUCAAAACAUGUAAGACAAACACAAAGCAAUAUCUUAAAAAAAGUAUGAAGCUUUUGGUCUAAAUCCUUACUUGUCAAGUACACAAACAACUGUGUUCUCCGGAUCAGAGAAUCCUCCUUUAACUCUCUUCACGAACCCCGACUCAUCUUCCUCACUAUACGGAACCUGAACCGAGCUCUUACCCAGAAACUUGAGACUCGGCGACGCCAACGAGGCCAACGUCUUGUCGUCUCUGAUAUCAAGAAGCUGCGAAUCAGGCUGGCUCUUGAGCUUAAGAAACGCGUUGAUGGCGGUUAUCGGUUUAUACUUCCUCAGGUAGAAGAUCGCCGCCGGGUAGACGACGAGGUAGAUGAAUGUGCAUCCCGCCACGAAAAACGGGUACUUGUUGAAAAAGUUGUCGAUCGUGAUCAGAAUCGACUCCAGAUCGAUUUUUCCGGUGGAUUGGUCGGAGAUUGAGGUGAAGGGUUGUGUUGAUGCGAGGACAGGGGAACAGAGGAUGGUGUGAGAAAGGGUGAGAGAGAGAUUGGUUUUGGACAGAAGGUGUAGCGAAUGAGAUAUGUUGUUGAGUGGAGCUGUGCGACUUUGGUCGGAAUUUGGAGUUUGAGGAGUGGAGGGUUUGGAUAGGUUUCGCGGAGGAGAAGAUGCGAGAAUUGUCGGAAGAGACGACAUCAUAACUAAAUGGCGACGAGAGACGAUGAGUGGAAGCGCCAAGAGGAUAAGAAACAAAAUAAAGGGCUCAUUCUUGUAAAAUUGGAUAAACACUAAAAGAUGAUGUCAAAACUGUAAAUAACUACUUUUGUCAAUUAUUAAUUUACAUAAAAAAAAAAAAAAUUGAGAACUAUUAAUUUUAGAUACAAUUGCCAAAACAAUUUCCCAAUUUAUCAACAAAUUUUCCCAGCUUUUUGUCUAUACUAUUUUUAGGGCAAUUCUCUUAAAUAACAAUUUUUAAGUUUUUGUCACAAAAAUAGUCUUCAAAAAGAAAAUGACAAAAAUAGCUCCAUUUUAUUUUGAAAUUUUUAAUAUUUAUUUUUAUUUUUUUUAAAUUUGAAAUCUUAUCAUCAAAACCCCCUAAUUCUAGAUUAGUUAACCCUAGAGUCAAAAUACAUUUUUACUUUUCGAUAAAACUUAUUUUGUUUAUUUUCUUCAUUGAACGUUAUUUUGCGACAAAAACUUAGAAAGAUAUAUCUUAGAAAAUUUCUCCUAUUUUUAUCACGUUAAUUAAUGAUUUUGUCUUUUCUCUAAGUAUUUUGGUUUCAGUUAAAUAAAAAUAACAUUACAUAUGAAAGAAAUUUUAAUAGAUUAUUUAUUUUUGCUUAAGUCUUAAGAAGAGAAAAAAAAACUCUGUAUUGUCAAACACUACUGUUUUGAUUUUCCAUCUAACGACAGUGAAUUCUGAUUUAUUCAUAAAAUUUAAGAUGAACAAAUUUAAAAUGUAAACCUAUAAUAUUUUACACAAAUUUAGAAAAAAAUAAAUACUUGCGUCUCUGUUUCCCUCCUCUCUCUAUAUAUUAUGGCAAAACAAACUGGAUACAUUUUACACAACACAAAGCUGAUCCCAUCUUAAUAAACUAAUGAGAUGAGUUAUGUUCAUCGUCUGAAGAUGAAGAAGAAGAAGACUGCUUUCGUCCGAAUAGUCCAGGCAGAGGCUGUGGCAGCAUUGGGUUCACAGGAACUGGAAACUUGUGAGCAGAACUAACCAUUGUUCUUUCGUUUAUCAUCCCUACUUCUUUGCAGACUCUGUCCACUACUCCGAGGAAGUCUCGAACCACCAAGAAUAUCCUAAACGGAUGUGCUUCUUCUUUAGCCGAGUUCCCAUGGAAAUACUCUGUGAUCUCUUUCACGAGAGACAACGCUACGCUCUCUUGAGCUUGUACUCUGAUGAUGUCUUCUUCAGCUCUUUUCAGAAACGUGUUCAUCGAUUCCAAAAACCUCUCGCUACUGCUGCUGCCGCUUUCUUCUCUGACCGUUGAUUGGAUUUGGACUGCUUCGUUGAUCUUGGCAAUGCCUUGGGAAAGCUUGGAGACGUAGCUGCUGAGUACUUCCGAGUCCAUUGCCGCAGCUUUCUUGACGUUGCCAAGCUCUGAAGAUAGACUUGAUACAACUUGGAGGCCGAGUUUCCUGCAUUUGAUGUCAUCCGUUUGUGUAUUGUUGUCACCUGAGAGACGUGUGCCUUCUGCUCGGAUGAUCUCUUGAACAACGAAAUGCAAGAGAGUUGUUUUCCCAUCAGCGCCUUUGACAUCGACCAGCUUGAGGAGCGUGUCGAGCUUGAACGCAUGUGCGUCGCCUCGGUUCGUCCCAACGUUCAUGCGGUUUCCUGUCUUUAGAACCGCUUCUAGAAGCUUUAAGAACAUUCUGCUGUUCCUCAGUUCCUCACAAGCAGCCUACCCCAUAAAAGGUUUGAUUCGUUACAAACACAAAUGGUAGCAAGAGAGAGAGAAGAUAGCUUUGCUUUAUACAUUACCUCAAGAGUCUGGAAAGAGUUCUUCAGGUAUUCAACCUCGGAGUCAAAGUUAGCUACAUAGAGCAUUGCGUCAACUCUUUUAAAGGCAAAAGGGAUGUCUAGCAUUGCCUUGAGGAACUUCUCAGCAUGUCCAAGCUUUACAGGCGAAUCAUCCUUGUACUCUUUUAACCUGCGCUCUUCCUCUUUCGUUGGGGCCAUCUUGAGUAAGCUCUCUAGAAGUUCAGUCCCAAGUGUUUCGGCAUUGCCUGAAAAGCAUAACAUAACAACAAUCAUUCAGGACAUCAACUUCUUAGAUCAUAGCUAAACAAACGCAGAUGAAAUGUGAAACUAAGUAUGUGACAGCAUAGGUUACCUUCAAGAAGCGCUUCACAGACUUCUUCAAUAGUGACAUUAAGUGCACGAAGCAGGAUUGCAAUAUUCUGAGCCUUCUUAGGGUCCAAGACUCUGUUCUCUUGAUUCGGGCUUGGGAGAGCGCAUCUUGGAGUAGUCUGGCUCUGAUUUGGUUUGGAGUCUAACGACUUUGCCACAAACAACGUUUCAAUCAUCUCUUCAUCUAAUCUGCAAUCACACCAAUAAAAUUUCAACAACCAUAUUGUGACAAAGAAACUAUGAGAUUAACUCACUUGAAAGAGCUUGAACGAAGCUGAUCCCAGACCAUCUCACGGUCGGAACUUGCUCUGACUUUAUCCCAGUGCAAAGCCUUAAGCUUCGGUUUAGGAGUUUCCUCUGCAGGCUCAUUGGCACUGAACGUCUCUUUUAGAGUCUCUUCUGGUGAAGUCUUUGGAAGGUUUUCGGAUGGGAUCACAAAAGGAUUCGAAGGCGGCGUGAGAGGAGGUGGUCGGGACGCCUUAGGAGUCGCUUGAUUCCGUCGUGCCCAUGUCGGAAACGGUGGAGGAGGUGGCGGAGGCGGCACUCGUGCAGACACCGGAGGCUGUAGAAUCUGAGAUGAAAUGUUGGAGAUUCGUGGAGAUACAUCUAAGCUAUGGCUAAAGUCUCUAUCCGGAGAAGACGAAAGAGACGACGACGAGGCAGACUGUGGAUCGUGAGAAGCUUUCUCCGGCGGCGACUUGUGAGAAGCUUUCUCCGAACGCAAUGCAUCCAACUCGUUAAGGAAGCCUUGUCCCGGAGAAGAGAGUAGCUGAGACUGCAAUCCUU
Molecule: long non-coding RNA, 4170 nt
Filed under: Brassica napus (rape)
Lineage: Eukaryota; Viridiplantae; Streptophyta; Magnoliopsida; Brassicales; Brassicaceae
Description: long non-coding RNA (BNAP_LNC013674)
Source: RNAcentral